UACGGAGGGGGUUAGCGUUGUUCGGAAUUACUGGGCGUAAAGCGCGCGUAGGCGGAUUGGAAAGUUGGGGGUGAAAUCCCGGGGCUCAACCCCGGAACUGCCUUCAAAACUACCAGUCUAGAGGUCGAGAGAGGAAAGUGGAAUUCCGAGUGUAGAGGUGAAAUUCGUAGAUAUUCGGAAGAACACCAGUGGCGAAGGCGACUCGCUGGACAGGUAUUGACGCUGAGGUUCGAAAGCGUGGGGAGCAAACAGG
Molecule: unclassified non-coding RNA, 253 nt
Filed under: uncultured Rhodobacterales bacterium
Lineage: Bacteria; Pseudomonadati; Pseudomonadota; Alphaproteobacteria; Rhodobacterales
Description: contains 16S-23S intergenic spacer region
Rfam family: Bacterial small subunit ribosomal RNA
Source: RNAcentral